GUCCACGCCGUAAACGUUGCACACUAGGUGUGGGGCCCUAUCGACGGGUUCCGUGCCGUAGCUAACGCAUUAAGUGUGCCGCCUGGGGAGUACGGUCGCAAGACUAAAACUCAAAGAAAUUGACGGGGGCCCGCACAAGCGGCGGAGCAUGUUGCUUAAUUCGAUGCAACGCGAAGAACCUUACCUAGGUUGAACUACGCAGGAAAAGCCAUAGAGAUAUGGUGUCCGAAAGGGUCUGCGAUAGGUGGUGCAUGGCUGUCGU
This 262-nucleotide ribosomal RNA is filed under the name uncultured bacterium. RNAcentral describes it as "partial 16S ribosomal RNA". It matches the Rfam family "Bacterial small subunit ribosomal RNA", at positions 793 to 1055 of the family's 1533-position model. The record is from RNAcentral.